AUUGAACGCUGGCGGCAUGCCUUACACAUGCAAGUCGAACGGCAGCACGGGUGCUUGCACCUGGUGGCGAGUGGCGAACGGGUGAGUAAUACAUCGGAACAUGUCCUGCAGUGGGGGAUAGCCCGGCGAAAGCCGGAUUAAUACCGCAUACGAUCUACGGAGGAAAGCGGGGGACCUUCGGGCCUAGCGUUAUUGGGUUGGCCGAUGGCUGAUUAGCUAGUUGGUGGGGUAAAGGCCUACCAAGGCAACGAUCAGUAGCUGGUCGGAGAGGACGACCGGCCACACUGGGACUGAGACACGGCCCAGACUCCUACGGGAGGCAGCAGUGGGGAAUUUUGGACAAUGGGCGAAAGCCUGAUCCAGCAAUGCCGCGUGUGUGAAGAAGGCCUUCGGGUUGUAAAGCACUUUUGUCCGGAAAGAAAUACUUGGCCCUAAUACGGUCGGGGGAUGACGGUACCGGAAGAAUAAGCACCGGCUAACUACGUG
This 486-nucleotide ribosomal RNA is filed under the name uncultured bacterium. Its description in RNAcentral is "partial 16S ribosomal RNA". It matches the Rfam family "Bacterial small subunit ribosomal RNA", at positions 30 to 507 of the family's 1533-position model. The record is from RNAcentral.